RNAcentral lists this ribosomal RNA (325 nucleotides) under uncultured eukaryote. Its description in RNAcentral is "partial 18S ribosomal RNA". It matches the Rfam family "Eukaryotic small subunit ribosomal RNA", at positions 1470 to 1796 of the family's 1831-position model. The record is from RNAcentral.
CCCUUAGAUGUUCUGGGCCGCACGCGCGCUACACUGAUGCAACCAAUCAGAAUAUUUUGAAUUGAGAUAUUUGAAAAAUCUGCUAAACUGCAUCGUGAUGGGGAUUGACGAUUGUAAUUAUUUGUCAUAAACGAGGAAUUCCUAGUAAACGCAAGUCAUCAACUUGCAUUGAUUACGUCCCUGCCCUUUGUACACACCGCCCGUCGCUCCUACCGAUUGAAUGUUCCGGUGAGCACUCUGGCACAAUUGCUAUUCUUAGCAAUAAGAAUGGAUAAUUGUAAAAUUGUGCAAACCUUAACAUUUAGAGGAAGGAGAAGUCGUAACA